AGCAGUCGCCACGGUAAUACGUAGGGUGCAAGCGUUAAUCGGAAUUACUGGGCGUAAAGCGUGCGCAGGCGGUUCGCUAAGACAGAUGUGAAAUCCCCGGGCUUAACCUGGGAACUGCAUUUGUGACUGGCGGGCUAGAGUAUGGCAGAGGGGGGUAGAAUUCCACGUGUAGCAGUGAAAUGCGUAGAGAUGUGGAGGAAUACCGAUGGCGAAGGCAGCCCCCUGGGCCAAUACUGACGCUCAUGCACGAAAGCGUGGGGAGCAAACAGGAUUAGAUACCCCUGUAGUCCCUGUCUCUUAUAC
RNAcentral lists this ribosomal RNA (303 nucleotides) under uncultured bacterium. Its description in RNAcentral is "partial 16S ribosomal RNA". It matches the Rfam family "Bacterial small subunit ribosomal RNA", at positions 507 to 807 of the family's 1533-position model. The record is from RNAcentral.